GACGAACGCUGGCGGCGUGCUUAACACAUGCAAGUCGAACGGAAAGGCCCUGCUUUUGUGGGGUGCUCGAGUGGCGAACGGGUGAGUAACACGUGAGUAACCUUCCCUUGACUUUGGGAUAACUUCAGGAAACUGGUGCUAAUACCGGAUAGGAGCUCCUGCUGCAUGGUGGGGGUUGGAAAGUUUCGGCGGUUGGGGAUGGACUCGCGGCUUAUCAGCUUGUUGGUGGGGUAGUGGCUUACCAAGGCUUUGACGGGUAGCCGGCCUGAGAGGGUGACCGGCCACAUUGGGACUGAGAUACGGCCCAGACUCCUACGGGAGGCAGCAGUGGGGAAUAUUGCACAAUGGGCGGAAGCCUGAUGCAGCAACGCCGCGUGCGGGAUGACGGCCUUCGUGUUGUAAACCGCUUUCGCCUGUGACGAAGCGUGAGUGACGGUAAUGGGUAAAGAAGCACCGGCUAACUACGUG
Molecule: ribosomal RNA, 468 nt
Filed under: uncultured bacterium
Lineage: Bacteria
Description: partial 16S ribosomal RNA
Rfam family: Bacterial small subunit ribosomal RNA
Source: RNAcentral